Molecule: ribosomal RNA, 253 nt
Filed under: uncultured bacterium
Lineage: Bacteria
Description: partial 16S ribosomal RNA
Rfam family: Bacterial small subunit ribosomal RNA
Source: RNAcentral
UACGAAGGGGGCUAGCGUUGCUCGGAAUUACUGGGCGUAAAGCGCACGUAGGCGGCUUCUUAAGUCGGGGGUGAAAUCCCGGAGCUCAACUCCGGAACUGCCUUCGAUACUGGGAAGCUCGAGUCCGGGAGAGGUGAGUGGAACUGCGAGUGUAGAGGUGAAAUUCGUAGAUAUUCGCAAGAACACCAGUGGCGAAGGCGGCUCACUGGCCCGGUACUGACGCUGAGGUGCGAAAGCGUGGGGAGCGAACAGG